GGGAACGGAGGGGGUUGCGGCAACUGUGGGGCUGCAGGUCCGCCUGCAAAAUGAGCUCGAUGUCGGCGGCCUGACCAGCGUGGCAAAAUUCGGCCCACAGGAGCUCCACAGCUAGCGCAGUUGAGCACUGCCCCGCUCGAGCUCCACGACCGUUGCGACGAUGGAGCGCUGCUCGAGCUUUGCGGCCGGCACGGCAAACUCC
This 202-nucleotide long non-coding RNA is filed under the name Setaria italica (foxtail millet). RNAcentral describes it as "long non-coding RNA (SITA_LNC004246)". Lineage: Eukaryota; Viridiplantae; Streptophyta; Magnoliopsida; Poales; Poaceae. The record is from RNAcentral.